Molecule: long non-coding RNA, 3145 nt
Organism: Lycium ferocissimum
Lineage: Eukaryota; Viridiplantae; Streptophyta; Magnoliopsida; Solanales; Solanaceae
Exons: 2
Source: RefSeq, a predicted model, not a curated record
CUGCAUCGUGACCCCAUCCCUAAUCACCAUAGAACUAAAAUUUGUGCAAAGUGGCAUGUCUUUAUUGGUGAAGCAGUCAGUGUGACCCUGUAACUUGGGAUUGUUGUUCAUGUAUUCUGGUCUGAGAACUAUAAUUACCACUUUUUGGAGGGAAAUUCUAUUAUCUCGUUGUUACAAAGAACUUGCUCAAAGUGAUGCACACAACCUGUUCGACACAUUGUCUGAGAGACGAAUUCAUUCGAAGGUGAUGUCUGAGUAACCGAGCGACAUUAGGAAAUGUGUCGAAGUAAAUUGGGGUUGUUCUGGUGAGUUUUAAAGCGUUCUCUUCGUAUUGCUUGAACUGUUCAUUGCAAUUAAUGAAAUAAGUGAUCUUUCGGCAUCAAAGUGUUAACGCGUCUUGAGAAUGAUUUUAUUUCAUCACUGCUUAACUAACUGUACUUAGGCUCCUAAAGAAAAUUGAAACAUGAAAAGAAUUGGAUGCAAUGAGAUUUGGAUGUCAAUACGAGACCAGAGAUAAUUUAAUUAUGCUACUGGAAUGUUAUUAUUGUGAGGUGCUAGUGUAACUUGAAAGUUCCUAGAAUGGGCAAAAAGUUGAAACUUUGUGGAAAUGUUAUGAUUCUAAGAAUUGAGUUUCAUUUUGCAAGUGGUAGCAUUGUUCUUGUGGCUCGACAAGUCUUGAAUGUGAUGGCAUGGAUCGGUUUUAACUUUCAAAGCUUUAAACUAUGAUUACAGAGGUGCUAAACUGGCAUAGUGAAUAAACACUUCAGCUGGUACUUUUUGAUAUAGGAUGACUUCUAGUCAAUCCGAGAAAGCUCAAGGAGGCGCAGAACAAUUUUCUCACCCUUAUGCUCGAGUUUCAUGACACCAUCUUUUCAGGGAGUCCCUUCUAACUUGAGCUUUAUUUUAUUUAGUUACGUUGAGGACAAUGCAACAUUUUUAGUGGGGGUGACUCAUUUAUUUGUAAUAAUGUAUGGUGAUAUGGUUGGCGGACUUGAUGGAUUUGGUAGAUUAACUUUUAGUUUUGUUAUUUUUGUUUUUGUGUCAUGUUUAUUUUAGUAUGAUUUGUUUUUCAUUACUAGCUUCUUUAGUUUUUUUUUUUUUUUUUUUUUUUUUUUUUUUUAAAUAUCCUUGGCUUUUCUUUGUGCCGCGGUUCUUUUUCCAAGGAGGCUAAUUUUCUUUUGAACCGGGUGUUUUUGGGUAGAUUUUGUGGUGUGAGUUGUGAUGUUUGCCCCUCCGCCAAUUUGUGGUUUUCUUGGUACCAACAUGAUUUAAACCAUGGCAUGUGAGUUCUUGAAAAAAAAAAUUAUUGAAGUGAUAAUUCUUGUUCUGACCUUUAGACUCAAUUCUUGGCUCUUUCUUUCACUAAUUAGUCUAUUUAGAUUAAAAGUGACUUUUUGAGUUCAUUUGUUUCAAUUGAUUUUGGAGACAUCUUCUACAUGAGUUUCAUGCCAUGUGUGGUGAGGUUUAUUUGUGAGUUCUUUUGCAUUAUUUUUGGUCUAGAACUUGCCCGGAAUGUGUUUCACAGCAAAAUUCUAGACUAACUUGGUUUGAAAAAUGAUGUUAGGCCUUCCUUGGACCAUUUUUGUACCUUAAAUUUCCUACCCUUGCAUAUUUUCCCUAGUCAAUCCCUUUGAGCCUUUAACCUUUUCUUUGGCAACCAUGUUACAAGCUUUACCUUUUUGUUCUUCAAUGGUUCUAUCUUUUGGCACCCUAUCCCCCUAAGUGCUUUAAAAGUGAAAAUAUAGGCGAAAAGCCUAAGUUUGGGGAUGUGGUUGGAAAAAGUUGCGAUGCGGGAGUUGCUUGAAACAUGAAUAGGUGAAAAAAAAAAGAUGAAAAAAAGUGAAACCUUCCUUUUUUUUUUAAACAAAAAAACAACAAAAGGAAUGAAGAAAAGGAAGGAAGAAUAAAGAGUUGUGAAUAAAUGGAAGACUAGGUGUUUAAAAAAAAAAAAAAAAGAUGAAGCAAAGGUUGAUAAAGUCUUGAAAGGAAGUUUACUUUGAAUUGUUGCAAUUGGUAGUGCUUAGGGAGGUUUUGAGUCACUAUUUUCAAAUUAUGCCCCUACCUUAACCCAACGCCUACAUGACAACCCUUUAAGUCCUAAUUAAUUUUGAACCAAGUGUGUCUACAUUAGUGGAGAAAUACAUGAAGGGCAAGCCUAUGGUUCUACGUGUAUGCAUUUAAACAUCUUUGUGAGAGAGAGUUAAUUCUUUCUAUUUGAUAUCUCAUUUGUGUUUUGAAUACAUUUUCUAAGUGUGGGAUUCUCUCUUGAGUUUGAGGGCACAUGAGAAUUUGAGUUGUGAAUUUUUUCCAUUUUUCAAUUGAGAGAAAUGAACAAAAGAAAGUAGUUUUGUGAUAAUGAGGCAAAUUUUGAAGCUUUAGUGUCAUGACCUUAUUGCUACUUUGAUUAACUUGGUGUUUGAGCACUUCAAAUGAAAAUGAAGUUUUUGAGAAGAAGUUGGUGAUUCAUAUGUUGUGGAUUAAUUGUUGGCACCAAUCACAGUCAUGUGUUUAUACUUAAAGUAGACUUUUUAACUUGAUAUGAUGUUGGCGCACUUUUGAAUUUAGUCCUUUGAAGGAAAUUGUAUGUUUUGAUUUGCUUGAGGACAAGCAAAGGUUUAAGUUUGGGGGUUUGAUAAGUCGGUAGUUUUACCAACUUAUCUCUUCUUUAUGCUUAGAAUUUUGUUAUGUUUGAUUGAAAAAAUAGUGCAUUUACUAUGGUUUGCUUAGGUUCAUAUGGUUGACAAGAGCUUUGGAAGAAACCAAGUGAAAAACAAGUCAAAAAGAGACCAAAUUGUAGAAAAUGAAAAAAGUGGCUAAAAAUGGCCAGAAAUACAAAUUCGAAAAUCUAGAAAAUGUGGAGGUUGUUUUUGUCAUUUUUUGUGAGAAAAUUGGGGGAACUACAAAAGCAAGACAUGGAGACAUUAUUCUCAUCUUUGGCCAUAUUUCCAAGCCUUGGAAGCUAGGUUCUUCGACCAACACUUUGGAAGAGAAGAUUGGAGCACCUUAAUGAGCAAACUCUUAAUCCUUUCUUCAAUUCCUUGUUAUGUAUUGCAUAUUUAAGUGUGUUGUAUUUAUUCUCUCACUUGAAUCUUGUUCAUAAGAAUAUUCAUUAUCAAGUGUUGAAUUAAAUCUCUUGUUUUGCUUA